This is a long non-coding RNA of Austrofundulus limnaeus, 2392 nucleotides long. RefSeq lists it as uncharacterized. The transcript is spliced from 2 exons. The record is from RefSeq and is a predicted model, not a curated record. Lineage: Eukaryota; Metazoa; Chordata; Actinopteri; Cyprinodontiformes; Rivulidae.
CGUUGCGAUCACCAAGAAUUUGAGAACAUCGUAACUAAAUGAGCAGCGAACCGUAUGGCCGUAUUUCAAUGUCCAUUUUUUAAAUCUUGUUUUUGUUCCCAGUGAGAUACUGGCAUAAACCUGGAGAUAUUGUAGUAUUAACAAAUAGUAUACAUUCCGGUUAAUUUAACUUGAUCGUGUUAAAAAUAAUAAUAAUAAUAAAACUAAGAAAUUUUCUUCUCAGAUUAAAGUAAUCCACAUUCCUUUCCUGUUCAUGCCCAACAAGUCAGUGAAAGAUUCCAGUGUUCGGUAAACCAACCAAAUGGACCAAUCAGUGCUUUUGUUUCAACAACAAACAAUAAAUCAUCAGGAGUAAACAGCGGAGGAACAGAGUGUUCCUUUUAAAGCAUAAACACCAGAUUUGUUUGGUUGUUAUAUGGGUUUAAUGUAAAGCUAAAUAAACCCUAUAUGAAGCUUUUGAACUGGUCUAAUUAGACAAGAACUGUGAGAAUAAUCUGCAGGCGUGACGAUCACAAAAAGCUCUCACAUCUUGUCAGCAGUCAUGUUGUCAAAAUAUUUCAAACUGAAGAAAGAUGUAUUUCUAUAUUAAACAGACGAGCCCUUCGCACGUCACUGGUGAAAUUAGUGACUCGGCUCCACAGGACUAUGUGGAAUUUGUUCGAAGCUUUCAAAACAUGACGUCACCUUGGUCCCAGGAAUGCAACAACACUUAAUAAAUCUUACAUCGCUGCAAAACCUGUUUAUUUCCUUUUAAACUAUGACACAUUUGUAGGUUUCGCACGUGAAAGACUUGCCAAUUUUUUUCUGCCAAACUGUUUAUUAAACUGUUGUCUCAUGGUCUGUGUUUUUUUUAUUUGAUUGGAUGGUUGAAGUCUGAAGAAAUGACACACACUGGUAAUUUAACAGUUCAACAAGCGUCCUCAGCAGCAUGUGGAAGAACCAUACGCGCUCAAGCUGCUCGCUGCUGUGGGAUAGUGUCCCAUUCUUCAACAAGCAUUUAUCUUGUGUGGUAAAUAAUCAGUGGAUAAACAUUUAUUACCAAUUAAAAUUUGGACGACCCCAUUCUAGAUGGCCACCAMAGCAAAGCAACAUUAGCCRGCACAAACGUGGCUGCAAGUCAACCUAUUUUUACAGAUAUUUAGCUUAAGUCCUACAAACUGUGCAGGAUUUUGAUAAAAAAAUAUUUGUUUGGGUGGUUGAAUCUGAAGAAAUGACACAUAAUGGGAGAUUAACGGUUUAGUCAUUUGACAAAUYGGAGCCUCAAUAGCAUGCGGAAGAACCAUAUGCAGCCACAGCCACGUAAAGCUGUGGGACGGCGUCCCAUUCUUCGACUAGUGUUCAUUUAGUGUGGCAAAUAAUUAUUGGAUAAACAUCUAUAAUCAGUUAAGAUUUGAUAACGAAAAAAAAAAGAAAAAAAAAAGAAAAAAAAAAGAUUUGAUAACGACCUCCUUCAAAAUGGCCGCCACCGCAUGUUCAUUAGUAGACAUUUUACAGAUAUACAUAUCAAAUAAUAGAACUCAAUCCCUACACAAUAUACACRAUUUUGGCUUAAAAUAUGGGAUAUUUGUCACUCUGUUAGGAAAAUAUUUCAAGAACCACUGGAGAGAUUUUAGUGAAACUCAAAGUGAAUAUUGGCUGUCYGUCUAAAGCUCAUCAGAUAUGGCGGUAAAAAUUGGUGUGGUGGUAAUAGUACAGUAUAACUCCGCCCCCUACUCUCCAGGCAGUAAUCUCUGUUUAAAACUCAACGGUGUAACUUCACAGUUCCACGCAGAUUUGUGCUGAGGGUGUCAACAGGUCCGUGACCUGCGGCCCGUCUGGGUUCAGCGGGUGUUGUAACUGAGUAACGUGAUGAGUUGGCAGGAACGACUCAAACGCAUCAACGCCUCUGCUGACGCCUGAGGAGCUCCGGCAGCAACAAACUGACAGAAGCACAAAUAUCUGCAGGCGUCGACCGGGAACGAAGCAGCAACAUCCGCUCCUUUUUCACACCUCGGGUCCUGGUCCUCGUUAAUUAUUAUGUUUAAAAUGUGGACAUAUGGUCUGCUGCGAGGUGAGGAGCUGGGCUCGGUCCACACAGCAAGAACCUCCUGAUUUUAAAAGGCUCGGGCCAAAAACCGGAGGAAGUGAUGCGUUCGGGUGGUCUCGCCGCCCAUAGGCAGGACACCAGAGAACAUAACGUCCUGAAACCUGCGACGCACGGUGGCUGGAGGCGGCGUGACGGAGAGGAAGUGAACCUGAGCGCCGUCGCUCACUCAGAACCAGAACAAACAUCAAACCUGCGGGUCCGAUCGAGUUCAGGAUGAUAAAGUCUCAAUCAGAGGUUUGAGGAAAUCUGAUCAUUUUAGUAAAGAUCUUCUGAACCCCACAUUAAAGACCUGAACUACUCCUUCAA